Molecule: ribosomal RNA, 521 nt
Filed under: uncultured bacterium
Lineage: Bacteria
Description: bacterial SSU rRNA
Rfam family: Bacterial small subunit ribosomal RNA
Source: RNAcentral
GACGAACGCUGGCGGCGCGCCUAACACAUGCAAGUCGAACGGGGUUCUUUUAGGAAGCUUGCUUCUUGGCUGAACCUAGUGGCGGACGGGUGAGUAACACGUGAGCAACCUGCCCUGGAGUGGGGGAUAACAUCUGGAAACGGAUGCUAAUACCGCAUAACAUCGAGAUCCGGCAUCGGGUUUCGAUCAAAGGAUUUAUUCGCUUUAGGAUGGGCUCGCGUCCGAUUAGAUAGUUGGUGAGGUAACGGCUCACCAAGUCUGCGAUCGGUAGCCGGACUGAGAGGUUGAUCGGCCACAUUGGGACUGAGACACGGCCCAGACUCCUACGGGAGGCAGCAGUGGGGAAUAUUGCACAAUGGGGGAAACCCUGAUGCAGCGACGCCGCGUGAGUGAAGACGGCCUGGUGUAAGACGUACUGUGUAGGGACGGAGUAAGUAGACGGUAACCCUUACGUAAACGACCGAACGGACCUAACUAACGUACGGCCACGCACGACCGCGGUAACGUAGUAACGUACUAUA